RNAcentral lists this long non-coding RNA (299 nucleotides) under Homo sapiens (human). RNAcentral describes it as "non-protein coding lnc-ERCC1-2:2". The record is from RNAcentral. Lineage: Eukaryota; Metazoa; Chordata; Mammalia; Primates; Hominidae.
GAACUGUUCAUCUCUUGGGAACACCCUGACGCCCCCAUCUCUGUACCCACAGGAGUGAUUGGUCUAUUCACCAUCCCCCUGCUGUACCGGCAGCACCAGGCUCAGAUCGACCAAUAUGUGGGGUUGGUGACCAAUCAGUUGAGCCACAUCAAAGCUAAGAUCCGAGCUAAAAUCCCAGGGACCGGAGCCCUGGCCUCUGCAGCAGCCGCAGUCUCCGGAUCCAAAGCCAAAGCCGAAUGAGAACGGUGUCUCUGCCCGCAGGACGCCUGCCCCCAGCCCCCGCAGCCCUCUGGCCCCCU